GACGAACGCUGGCGGCGUGCUUAACACAUGCAAGUGGAGCGACGAACCAGGGCUUGCCCUGGGGCAAAGCCGCGAACGGGUGAGUAACACGUGGGUAACCUGCCCCGAUGACCGGGACAACCCGAGGAAACUCGGGCUAAUACCGGAUGAGCUCACGCCACAUCAGUGGCAUGAGGAAAGGAAGCUUCGGCCUCCGCAUUGGGAUGGGCCCGCGGCCCAUUAGCUUGUUGGGGGGUAAAGGCCUACCAAGGCUUCGAUGGGUAGCUGGUCUGAGAGGACGAUCAGCCACACUGGGACUGAGACACGGCCCAGACUCCUACGGGAGGCAGCAGUGGGGAAUCUUGCGCAAUGCGCGAAAGCGUGACGCAGCAACGCCGCGUGCGGGAAGACGGCCUCGGU
RNAcentral lists this ribosomal RNA (399 nucleotides) under uncultured bacterium. RNAcentral describes it as "bacterial SSU rRNA". It matches the Rfam family "Bacterial small subunit ribosomal RNA", at positions 28 to 423 of the family's 1533-position model. The record is from RNAcentral.